UGGGGAAUAUUGGGCAAUGGGCGAAAGCCUGACCCAGCAACGCCGCGUGAAGGAAGAAGGUUUUCGGAUUGUAAACUUCUGUCCUCAGGGAAGAAGGACGUGACGGUACCUGAGGAGGAAGCCCCGGCUAACUACGUGCCAGCAGCCGCGGUAAUACGUAGGGGGCGAGCGUUGUCCGGAAUGACUGGGCGUAAAGGGCGCGUAGACGGCUGUCUAAGUCUGGAGUGAAAGUCCUGUUUUCAAGGUGGGAAUUGCUUUGGAGACUGGAUGGCUUGAGUGCUGGAGAGGAAAGCGGAAUUCCUAGUGUAGCGGUGAAAUGCGUAGAUAUUAGGAGGAACACCAGUGGCGAAGGCGGCUUUCUGGACAGUAACUGACGCUGAGGCGCGAAAGCGUGGGGAGCGAACAGG
This 407-nucleotide ribosomal RNA is filed under the name uncultured prokaryote. RNAcentral describes it as "bacterial SSU rRNA". It matches the Rfam family "Bacterial small subunit ribosomal RNA", at positions 355 to 776 of the family's 1533-position model. The record is from RNAcentral.